AAAAAACAACAAAAAAUUAUUUGUGGAUGUCUAAUCUAUUUAAUUAUUGGAAGUAUAAUCUAAAAAAAGCAAAGCUAUUUCCAAAUGUGAAAACAUAUAAGAUCAAUUUAUGAACUGAUAUAUCUAAGUAAUAAAUAAAAAAACUUUCUUAGUAAUGACGAAUGAAAAGAAAAUAAAAAAAAAAUUGUUUAACGAUUAAAAAUGUGUUUCAAACGCAUAAUUUAUUUCAUGAAAUUAAAUUAAUGAAAUAAAAAAAAAAGAAAAAUUAAAUAGUGAUAGUGAAUAGUACUGAGAAGGAAAGAUUAAUUCAAAAUAUUUGAAAAUUGAAAAUUAAACAGAUAAUUUUGUCCCAAAAGAAAUUUAAGAUUUUUAUUGGAUACCUUUUGCAUCAUGGGUCAGCAAGUUAAUAAUUAUAAACAAGUAUAAAGCUUUAUGAAAAUAUUUAAGUUUAUAUUAUUAGACCCGAAACUAAUCGAACCAGUCAUUACCAGGGUAAAUAGACCGAACUUGUGAUUGUUGCAAUAAUCUAAGAUGAGUAAUGACUAGAGGUGAAAUUCCUAUCGAGAUUAGAGAUAGCUGGUUUGCUAGGAAAACUAUUUUAGUAGUUUUAUUAUAUAUAUGAAAAGAAAUUUUCAUUUGAUAUGGAUUUAUUCAUAUUAAAAUACACUGAUUGAUGUACAGUACCGGUAUAAUCCUGAUCUAGAAAGAUCUUCCUAAAAGUGUAUAUAAUAAGUCAGAAAAUGAGUGAUAAGAUUCAUAUUCGAGAGAGAAACAACUCUAUCUAUAGGAAACAGUUUCAAAAUGAAAGUUUAGUGAAUAUAAAAUGUAAAAUUCGAUUACUCAUUUGAGUGGUCGACGUAAAGUCGACCGCUCUCCGAGUAAAUAUAAUUAAAUUUAUAUUUAAGAUUCUUUUAGGUGGGCUUGGUAGCGGCCAUCCUUAUUUUAAUACGUAACAGCAAAAAAGAAUUAUAAAUUUUAUAUUGUAAAUGUACGAAUCAAAAACUUUCUACUUUAACCAUAGAAGGAAAGAAAAUUUCCUUAGUACUAGCAUUAAAAAAGUUAUAAACUUUUUUUUGAGAAUGCUGACAUGAGUAACGUAAAAAAAGAGAAAAUGUUCAUAUGAACAUGAAAAAGAUCUCUUUGAUCGUAAAUCCAAGGUUUUCAAGUAAUAUUUUUUAAAAUAUUGAGUAAUCCGGUUUCUAAGAUUUAAAUUUCGAUGAAUAAUGAUUUUAUCAGGAAAUUAUUUAAAUUACCGUACUUAUAACCGACUCUGGUGGAUUUAAUAUGAUUUGGAGAGAACUAUUUAGAAGGAACUCGGCAAAUUAGGAGUGCGACUGUGACUUUGAACAUAGGUCUUAGCAAACUUUAAUAGGAUGUAUUAAGGCCGGUACCUGCCCGGUGCUAGCAACCAAAAGAUUUAAUGAUUUAAAUCCAAAACUCUAGUAAACGGCAGCUGUAACUCUGACGGUUCUAAGGUAGCGAAAUUCCUCGGCUAUUAAUUGUAGUCCCGCAUGAAUGGUGAAACGACGCUCCGACUGUCUCCUAAAUAGACUCCGUGAAGUUACAUUUUUCGUGCAGAUGCGAAAAAUCCUCAGCAAGACGAGAAGACCCUAUGAAGCUUUACUGAUUUGAAAAAUCAAAUUUAUUUUUCUUAGUCAGUUUCGCUGGGGCGGCGACCUCCAAAAUAGUAACGGAGUGUCAACAAUGGCAUGAAAUCAUUUAACGGAUUAAACAUGCUUAAAAAAAAGAAUUACAAUUCUUUUUUUAAUAAUAAAAAUAUCUCAUUUUUCUUGUUUGUCGUAGUGAUCCGCUAAUUUUUUUAGCGCUUAAGGAAUUCAAGCUACUCUAGGGAUAACAGGCUAGUCUUAAAAUUCGGUAUCUACGGAUUUGAAGGAUCGGCACCUCGAUGUCGACUCUACCUAUCCUAGGGCUGUAAGCGGUCCUAAGGGUGCGACUGUUCUUCGCAUAAAAGGUAACGUGAGUUGGGUUUAUACCGCGGUGACGCAGGUAGGAUUCUAUCUACUGAGGAAUAAAAAAAGAAAUUACUAGCUCUAGUACGAGAGGACUGAGUGGGUUGAACCAAUGAUUAAAAUAUAAUAAUUUAGUUAUGUUCAUAAUAAUGAAUUCCUGAAUUCAUCUAAGGAAGAAAUUAAGUUUUAUUUUUUAUUUUAAAUAAAAAUUAGUAGACUACUAAUUUAAAUAUUGAUACAUAAAAUUUAUCAAAUUUUUUCUAAUGUUCUAUGUAAAAUAGAACGCUAGAUUCUCGAAUCU
This 2271-nucleotide ribosomal RNA is filed under the name Synchytrium microbalum. RNAcentral's name for it is "large subunit ribosomal RNA". It matches the Rfam family "Bacterial large subunit ribosomal RNA". The record is from RNAcentral. Lineage: Eukaryota; Fungi; Chytridiomycota; Chytridiomycetes; Synchytriales; Synchytriaceae.